Molecule: non-coding RNA, 181 nt
Filed under: Lachnospiraceae bacterium
Lineage: Bacteria; Bacillati; Bacillota; Clostridia; Lachnospirales; Lachnospiraceae
Also listed under: 1 other name
Description: 6S RNA
Rfam family: 6S / SsrS RNA
About the family: E. coli 6S RNA was the first non coding RNA to be sequenced, but its function was unknown until recently. It consists of 184 nucleotides that fold into an extended hairpin structure with a large single-stranded internal bulge.
Source: RNAcentral
AUCAACCUGGAAUGUGCGAUUCAACCUGUUGUUUUGAACCUACAUUUACUUUAAAAGGGAUUCUUAUAUUGUCUGAUGGAUGUCAGGCCUCCGUUCGCAGUGGAAGGCAGAAGUCAGAUUGCGGUUACCCACCUAGCAUUGCUAGGAGUCAAAAUAUCAGGCCCGGCAUUUUGGGGAUACA